UGGGGAAUCUUCCGCAAUGGGCGCAAGCCUGACGGAGCAACGCCGCGUGAGUGAAGAAGGUCUUCGGAUCGUAAAGCUCUGUUGAUGGGGACGAACGUGCCUAAUGCGAAUAGUAUUAGGUAAUGACGGUACCCAUCGAGGAAGCCACGGCUAACUACGUGCCAGCAGCCGCGGUAAUACGUAGGUGGCGAGCGUUGUCCGGAAUCAAUGGGCGUAAAGGGAGCGCAGGCGGGCAUGUAAGUCUUUCUUAAAAGUGCGGGGCUCAACCCCGUGAUGGGAAAGAAACUAUGUGUCUUGAGUACAGGAGAGGAAAGCGGAAUUCCCAGUGUAGCGGUGAAAUGCGUAGAUAUUGGGAGGAACACCAGUGGCGAAGGCGGCUUUCUGGACUGCAACUGACGCUGAGGCUCGAAAGCCAGGGGAGCGAACGGG
RNAcentral lists this ribosomal RNA (429 nucleotides) under bacterium. Its description in RNAcentral is "partial 16S ribosomal RNA". It matches the Rfam family "Bacterial small subunit ribosomal RNA", at positions 355 to 776 of the family's 1533-position model. The record is from RNAcentral.